Molecule: ribosomal RNA, 498 nt
Filed under: uncultured bacterium
Lineage: Bacteria
Description: partial 16S ribosomal RNA
Rfam family: Bacterial small subunit ribosomal RNA
Source: RNAcentral
AUUGAACGCUGGCGGCAUGCCUUACACAUGCAAGUCGAACGGAUUUUGGGGCUUGCUCCAAAGUUAGUGGCGAACGGGUGAGUAAAUCAUCGGAACGUACCCAGUCGUGGGGGAUAACGUAGCGAAAGUUACGCUAAUACCGCAUACGAUCUGAGGAUGAAAGCGGGGGACCUUCGGGCCUCGCGCGAUUGGAGCGGCCGAUGUCGGAGUAGCUAGUUGGUGAGGUAAAGGCUCACCAAGGCCACGAUCCGUAGCUGGUCUGUGAGGACGACCAGCCACACUGGGACUGAGACACGGCCCAGACUCCUACGGGAGGCAGCAGUGGGGAAUUUUGGACAAUGGGCGAAAGCCUGAUCCAGCCAUGCCGCGUGAGUGAAGAAGGCCUUCGGGUUGUAAAGCUCUUUCAGACGGAAAGAAAUCUCUCGGGUGAAUAUCCCGGGAGGAUGACGGUACCGUAAGAAGAAGCACCGGCUAACUACGUGCCAGCCGCCGCGGUAA